RNAcentral lists this ribosomal RNA (119 nucleotides) under Mycolicibacterium flavescens. Lineage: Bacteria; Bacillati; Actinomycetota; Actinomycetes; Mycobacteriales; Mycobacteriaceae. The record is from RNAcentral.
GUUACGGCGGUCAGUAGCGGCAGGGAAACGCCCGGACCCAUCCCGAACCCGGAAGCUAAGCCUGCCAGCGCCAAUGGUACUGCCCAGCACGGGUGGAAAAGUAGGGCGCCGCCGAACAC